AAUAAGUUCAUUUUUCACUUUUUGUAUACGAUGCUUGGCUUUUUGUCUUAUUUAAGAAAAGUUUACGAUUAAUAUUUUUAUUGUUAUUAGAUGAUAGAACAUGAAUAGUACUUUACACAUGACUAUUUUUUUAAUAAUUUUUCAAAUAAGACGGAUAGUCAAACGUUGAACACAGAAACCAAAAAAUGAACUCUUU
This 196-nucleotide microRNA precursor is filed under the name Oryza brachyantha (malo sina). Its description in RNAcentral is "MIR812 microRNA precursor family". It matches the Rfam family "MIR812 microRNA precursor family". Lineage: Eukaryota; Viridiplantae; Streptophyta; Magnoliopsida; Poales; Poaceae. The record is from Rfam by way of RNAcentral.